RNAcentral lists this long non-coding RNA (278 nucleotides) under Olea europaea (common olive). RNAcentral's name for it is "long non-coding RNA (OEUR_LNC011558)". Lineage: Eukaryota; Viridiplantae; Streptophyta; Magnoliopsida; Lamiales; Oleaceae. The record is from RNAcentral.
UGUCAAGUAACUCCGUCAAUUGCUUUCGAAGUUCUUCCAGCUCCGGCGGUGCCAUUCGAUAGGGUGCCAUGGAUGGUGGUUUGGCACCCGGUUCCAACUCGAUCUUAUGAUCCACCUCCCUCCUAGGUGGUAAUUUCUUGGGUAACUCCGGCGGCAUCACGUCCUUAUUUUCUUCAAGGACAUUCUUGAUGACUUCGGGCACAUUAUCGUCACCCACAACUUCCUCAACUUGGUCCUCCAUUUUUAAUGCUGCCAAAUACGUCGCCUCUCCUUUCUUU